GACGAACGCUGGCGGCGUGCCUAAUGCAUGCAAGUCGAACGAGAGCAACCGGUGCUUGCACUGGUCAAUCUAGUGGCGAACGGGUGAGUAACACGUGGGUAACCUGCCCAUCAGAGGGGGAUAACAUCCGGAAACGGAUGCUAAAACCGCAUAGGUCUUCGAACCGCAUGGUUUGAAGAGGAAAAGAGGCGCAAGCUUCUGCUGAUGGAUGGACCCGCGGUGCAUUAGCUAGUUGGUGAGGUAACGGCUCACCAAGGCCGUGAUGCAUAGCCGACCUGAGAGGGUGAUCGGCCACAUUGGGACUGAGACACGGCCCAAACUCCUACGGGAGGCAGCAGUAGGGAAUCUUCCGCAAUGGACGCAAGUCUGACGGAGCAACGCCGCGUGAGUGAAGAAGGUUUUCGGAUCGUAAAACUCUGUUGUUAGAGAAGAACAAGUGCUAGAGUAACUGUUAGCGCCUUGACGGUAUCUAACCAGAAAGCCACGGCUAACUACGUG
RNAcentral lists this ribosomal RNA (498 nucleotides) under uncultured bacterium. Its description in RNAcentral is "partial 16S ribosomal RNA". It matches the Rfam family "Bacterial small subunit ribosomal RNA", at positions 28 to 507 of the family's 1533-position model. The record is from RNAcentral.